RNAcentral lists this ribosomal RNA (450 nucleotides) under uncultured bacterium. RNAcentral's name for it is "partial 16S ribosomal RNA". It matches the Rfam family "Bacterial small subunit ribosomal RNA", at positions 354 to 796 of the family's 1533-position model. The record is from RNAcentral.
GUGGGGAAUUUUGGACAAUGGGCGCAAGCCUGAUCCAGCAAUGCCGCGUGCAGGAAGAAGGCCUUCGGGUUGUAAACUGCUUUUGUACGGAACGAAACGGUCCUGGUUAAUACCUGGGGCUAAUGACGGUACCGUAAGAAUAAGUACCGGCUAACUACGUGCCAGCAGCCGCGGUAAUACGUAGGGUGCGAGCGUUAAUCGGAAUUACUGGGUGUAAAGCGUGCGCAGGCGGUGCUGUAAGACAGGCGUGAAAUCCCCGGGCUCAACCUGGGAAUUGCGCUUGUGACUGCAGUGCUGGAGUACGGCAGAGGGGGAUGGAAUUCCGCGUGUAGCAGUGAAAUGCGUAGAUAUGCGGAGGAACACCGAUGGCGAAGGCAGUCCCCUGGGCCUGUACUGACGCUCAUGCACGAAAGCGUGGGGAGCAAACAGGAUUAGAAACCCUUGUAGUCC